Prunus avium (sweet cherry) is the source of this 310-nucleotide long non-coding RNA. RefSeq lists it as uncharacterized. Lineage: Eukaryota; Viridiplantae; Streptophyta; Magnoliopsida; Rosales; Rosaceae. The record is from RefSeq and is a predicted model, not a curated record.
UAGCUCAGACUGCAAUGCCAGUUUUUGAAACAAGAGAGAGAAAUUGAAGAGUUUAUAAUAGAAAAGAUUCUAAAAUGUGAUAAUAAAUCAGGUGAUAGUAAAAAUGCGUCGUGGGAUGACAAAAGCGAGCUUUGUUUGCUAAAGAUAUAUGGGAUAAAGACAUUAGUGAAAAGCUACUUGCCUGUCAAAGAUGCUCAUGUUCGCCCUGGGCCUGGCAUUGAUGGUCUGCUGGAAAUCUUAAGAACCAUACUUUCUUGUGGAGAAAUAUCAAAAGACAUAGAAUCAAGUUCAGUUGACAAGGCCAUUUGGU